Molecule: ribosomal RNA, 279 nt
Filed under: uncultured bacterium
Lineage: Bacteria
Description: partial 16S ribosomal RNA
Rfam family: Bacterial small subunit ribosomal RNA
Source: RNAcentral
UGCCAGCCGCCGCGGUAAUACGGAGGGUGCGAGCGUUAAUCGGAAUUACUGGGCGUAAAGCGCACGCAGGCGGUUUGUUAAGCUAGAUGUGAAAGCCCCGGGCUCAACCUGGGAUGGUCAUUUAGAACUGGCAGACUAGAGUCUUGGAGAGGGGAGUGGAAUUCCAGGUGUAGCGGUGAAAUGCGUAGAUAUCUGGAGGAACACCGAUGGCGAAGGCAUCUCUCUGGGCCAAUACUGUCGCUGAGGCGCGAAAGCGUGGGUAGCAAACAGGAUUAGAUA